RNAcentral lists this ribosomal RNA (253 nucleotides) under uncultured bacterium. RNAcentral's name for it is "partial 16S ribosomal RNA". It matches the Rfam family "Bacterial small subunit ribosomal RNA", at positions 524 to 776 of the family's 1533-position model. The record is from RNAcentral.
UACAGAGGUCUCAAGCGUUGUUCGGAUUCAUUGGGCGUAAAGGGUGCGUAGGCGGCGCGGUAAGUCGGGUGUGAAAUCUCGGGGCUUAACUCCGAAACUGCAUUCGAUACUGCCGUGCUUGAGGACUGGAGAGGAGACUGGAAUUUACGGUGUAGCGGUGAAAUGCGUAGAGAUCGUAAGGAAGACCAGUGGCGAAGGCGAGUUUCUGGACAGUUACUGACGCUGAGGCACGAAGGCCAGGGGAGCAAACGGG